CGCCCUGAGUGGCGCGGGGUGCCCCCGUGCUGUUCAUGACGGCGCGGGGUGCCCCCGUGCUGUUCGAGGGGGCGCAGGGUGCCC
RNAcentral lists this transfer RNA (84 nucleotides) under Angustibacter aerolatus. RNAcentral's name for it is "tRNA-Met". The record is from RNAcentral. Lineage: Bacteria; Bacillati; Actinomycetota; Actinomycetes; Kineosporiales; Kineosporiaceae.